AUUGAACGCUGGCGGCAUGCCUUACACAUGCAAGUCGAACGGUAACAGGUUAAGCUGACGAGUGGCGAACGGGUGAGUAAUACAUCGGAACGUGCCCAGUAGUGGGGGAUAGCCCGGCGAAAGCCGGAUUAAUACCGCAUACGACCUAAGGGUGAAAGGGGGGGAUCGCAAGACCUCUCGCUAUUGGGGCGGCCGAUGUCAGAUUAGCUAGUUGGUGGGGUAAAAGCUCACCAAGGCGACGAUCUGUAGCUGGUCUGAGAGGACGACCAGCCACACUGGGACUGAGACACGGCCCAGACUCCUACGGGAGGCAGCAGUGGGGAAUUUUGGACAAUGGGCGCAAGCCUGAUCCAGCCAUGCCGCGUGCGGGAAGAAGGCCUUCGGGUUGUAAACCGCUUUUGUCAGGGAAGAAAUCCUUUGGGUUAAUACCUCGGGGGGAUGACGGUACCUGAAGAAUAAGCACCGGCUAACUACGUG
RNAcentral lists this ribosomal RNA (477 nucleotides) under uncultured bacterium. RNAcentral's name for it is "partial 16S ribosomal RNA". It matches the Rfam family "Bacterial small subunit ribosomal RNA", at positions 30 to 507 of the family's 1533-position model. The record is from RNAcentral.